UCCCUGGUGGUCCACUGGUUGGAACUCAGUGCUUUCACUGCUGGGGCCCCAGGUUCAAUUCCUAAUCAGGGAA
This 73-nucleotide transfer RNA is filed under the name Ovis aries (sheep). It matches the Rfam family "tRNA". From Rfam's summary of the family: Transfer RNA (tRNA) molecules are approximately 80 nucleotides in length. Their secondary structure includes four short double-helical elements and three loops (D, anti-codon, and T loops). Further hydrogen bonds mediate the characteristic L-shaped molecular structure. tRNAs have two regions of fundamental functional importance: the anti-codon, which is responsible for specific mRNA codon recognition, and the 3' end, to which the tRNAs corresponding amino acid is attached (by aminoacyl-tRNA synthetases). tRNAs cope with the degeneracy of the genetic code in two manners: having more than one tRNA (with a specific anti-codon) for a particular amino acid; and 'wobble' base-pairing, i.e. permitting non-standard base-pairing at the 3rd anti-codon position. Lineage: Eukaryota; Metazoa; Chordata; Mammalia; Artiodactyla; Bovidae. The record is from Rfam by way of RNAcentral.